Molecule: ribosomal RNA, 837 nt
Filed under: Akkermansia sp. UNK.MGS-1
Lineage: Bacteria; Pseudomonadati; Verrucomicrobiota; Verrucomicrobiia; Verrucomicrobiales; Akkermansiaceae
Description: bacterial SSU rRNA
Rfam family: Bacterial small subunit ribosomal RNA
Source: RNAcentral
AGAGUUUGAUUCUGGCUCAGAACGAACGCUGGCGGCGUGGAUAAGACAUGCAAGUCGAACGAGAGAAUUGCUAGCUUGCUAAUAAUUCUCUAGUGGCGCACGGGUGAGUAACACGUGAGUAACCUGCCCCCGAGAGCGGGAUAGCCCUGGGAAACUGGGAUUAAUACCGCAUAGUAUCGAAAGAUUAAAGCAGCAAUGCGCUUGGGGAUGGGCUCGCGGCCUAUUAGUUAGUUGGUGAGGUAACGGCUCACCAAGGCGAUGACGGGUAGCCGGUCUGAGAGGAUGUCCGGCCACACUGGAACUGAGACACGGUCCAGACACCUACGGGUGGCAGCAGUCGAGAAUCAUUCACAAUGGGGGAAACCCUGAUGGUGUGACGCCGCGUGGGGGAAUGAAGGUCUUCGGAUUGUAAACCCCUGUCAUGUGGGAGCAAAUUAAAAAGAUAGUACCACAAGAGGAAGAGACGGCUAACUCUGUGCCAGCAGCCGCGGUAAUACAGAGGUCUCAAGCGUUGUUCGGAAUCACUGGGCGUAAAGCGUGCGUAGGCUGUUUCGUAAGUCGUGUGUGAAAGGCGCGGGCUCAACCCGCGGACGGCACAUGAUACUGCGAGACUAGAGUAAUGGAGGGGGAACCGGAAUUCUCGGUGUAGCAGUGAAAUGCGUAGAUAUCGAGAGGAACACUCGUGGCGAAGGCGGGUUCCUGGACAUUAACUGACGCUGAGGCACGAAGGCCAGGGGAGCGAAAGGGAUUAGAUACCCCUGUAGUCCUGGCAGUAAACGGUGCACGCUUGGUGUGCGGGGAAUCGACCCCCUGCGUGCCGGAGCUAACGCGUUAAGC